UUAUAAUGUGCUUUAAAGCAUAAUGCCAUUUACAAUAUUGUGGUCAAGAAUUGCAAUUGCACAAUCAAUUUUUUUUCCCGUAAUCGCUCUUUGGAUCAUAAGAAAACUUGCCUGAAAGAUAAGUCUUGGCCAUGAUAAUAUGAAUACCGGCCUAGCGGUAAGCUUUAAUAAAAAAAAAAGUAUGAUUAUAUAAAUGCAAAUAUUUAGAAAUAUCUACUUCGCAAGUUCUUCAUUCGUCAGAUUAGAAAGGUCUUGUGGCUUGUUGUGGAUUCCUAAAAAUAUAUUGUUAUAAUUAUUGUUUACGAGAGAGAGAGAGAGAGAGAGAGAGAGUAUGGUUUGUUUGUUUGUAUGGUGUUUUUACGUUGCAAGGAACCAGUGGUUAUUCAGCAACGGGACCAACGGCUUGACGUGACUUCCGAACCACGUCGUGAGUGAACUUCUAUCACCAGAAAUGAGAGAGAGAGAGUAUGGCAUUGAUUAUAUUGAAAACAAAAAUCAAAAUUUCUUCAGUAGAGAGCAUAUAGUUGAUAUUUCUCUUUUAUUUAAAAAAAAUAGACUUUAAAAGGUCAUUUUACAAUAAAUAUAUGUAAUUUAUGUACAGACUCAACAAAUAUAGUUAUAUUUUCUAUAGCUCAACAUACUUCAAUUUACUAUUCAUAAUACAUACAUAUACCCAUACCUAUACACUGUAUAUACAUACUCAUUUCACAUACAUAUAGCCGCGCCAUAUACCGUAAGAGGCUAGAACAUUAUCAGUAUCAUACAUAAACAUCGUAGGAUCUGUUGUUUGCACUUCCACGUAACCUGAAAUCAAACAAAGUUGCGAAAGACAACUACGCAAAUUCAAACAACAUCGAGAACGAAGAAUUCCUUCGUUAAAUUUUGGCUUGACUCUCUUGCGAUCUUUUAAAUUACAGCAUCGGCAACACUUGACAUUUCCCACACUGCACCCUUGAGGGGCCAGACACGGAGGCGCCAUUCCGACCCCCCACCGGGGCCAAGGGACGUCCUAUCCCAGAGAGUGAGAGAGAUUCAGACCGGGAACUUGUGUGCUGUUGUCAAGCGCUUGGAGCAGGCAGCAGGCUAGUGCUCAGGCUCGACUUCUCCUCCAAACCGGCGUUUACAGUUGUCUUGUCCUUCAUGCUCGACGCACGGGAAAUAAUUCUAGGAAAAUGCAGUACGCGUUUCUAUUCUCAGUUCGUAUGAUGCAACACGUGAGGUACUGAAGGUCACCAGUUUAUUGAAGGAAAAAACAUAAAUAAAUUUCUUACAGUUGCUGAGGUAUCGGGAAAAUGUGUCAACUACUACUAUCAGGAAGCCAUGAAUCUUUUGUGAGGUCCCCGGUAUUUCUACUUUUGGAUUAUUUGAGUGCUGCCUGCUUCAUGACUGACUUACAUUGUUACAAAGGAGAUACGUAUAGUAUUCUGUAUGGAUGUCAAUAUCCUUAACAAUGUUUGGAAAUGGCCAUUUCUUUUUUCAUGGCAAUGGAUCUUCUUUAUCCAUUUAAGGCUAACAACAGAAUGUUAGUAUGUAGCUGUAACGAAGGGAAUUGGUUUCAACAACAACAAAUACCAAGACAUCCGCAACUACAAGUGGAAACCCCAUCUCUCCUACCUUUUGUGAAAUCAUGUACAAUGUGGGCUAGAGAUCUGUAGCAACCAAAGUGAUGGAGACAAUUCUUUGGAGGAAAAGUGACUAACUACAAUCAGUGGCAACUCAUUUGCAGAAUUGGACCUCUUGUCAUUAUUGUCAGGAGAGAGGAUUUGUCAUCUUCUGUGUUUACCCAGCGAUCAUCAUCUCUUCACUGCACCAACUCUGCUGUCAAGACUUUAUUUUGUUGUUGUCCUCCAUACAUGCUAUAUGUCCACCCAGUGACAUAAUCUGGAAGUAUUAAAAUGGAAAAAGUUUGUUAAGUUACAAAGUAACAAUAUUGUUAACAGCAGGGAAAGCAUUACUGCUUCCUGUGAUUUAAUGUAGUGGUCUUUUAGUUUGUCAUGAUUUAUGAUCCAGCAUUUAUGAUGAUUGUAAUCAAUACUGAGGGAAGUACAAGCUGUAUGUUAUGGACGCAUGCUACUUAUUACUGAUUAUUCUGACCAUUCAUUUUCCAAAUUUUAAUAGAAGUAUAUUUAUUAUUUUUUCCCAAGUAUCAAGAGAACAACUGACCUUCAUAAUUAAAAUAGUUUUGAAGUUAUAAUACCUACUAGACUGUUCAUUCCUCCUUCCCAACACAUCGAAAGUGUAAAUAUUUUUCAAGUAUUCCCUCUCCAUAUACAACUACAUUACUAUAGUCGAUUCAUUUAAGGUAGAUUCUUGCGCCUACGAGACGUUUGUUUGGCGGCCUCUGAUUGGCUGGUAGCGGGAUGCAGACUGCUCGCUCAGUGGGUCAUAUUUUCGUUUGUAGCUUAGAAAACUAGCAAUAUGUUUACAUUUCUUCAUUUAUCUCACGUUUUACAAAAGAUAGGAAAGUUCUCACGUUUUACAAAAGAUAGGAAAGUUUUGUUCAUACCAAAGGAUUCAGUAUUAAAUAUACAAUUAAUUAAUCUUUUCCUGAAAUCAAUAAGUUAAAAUACAAUGGAAUUACAACGAGUUGAAGUGAAGGGAGAAACAUUUCAUUCUUUAUACCUGUUUUUAUUCAUAAUCGGAUUUUGCAUAAUUCAUGAGAUCAAAAUAAAAUGAAAUCUUGUGUUAUAAAACAAUAAAUUCAACCUGAAUACGAUGGUGCUUUCAGAUUUUAGAUGCGUGUAAUAUGUAAAGAGAAAAUGAAGAAUAUGUCUUAUUAUGUUGCAUCCGUGCUUGACUCGGUUUGACAGUAGUGCCGAGAGACGCAAGAUAUCUUGGGGCUGGUCCUCUCAGCUAGAGCCGUUGGCGUGUUGGCAGUUGCCAAUUGGCGAUAUGAGAAGUUUGCAGUUUCGAGACUAUGUAUUU
Molecule: long non-coding RNA, 2925 nt
Organism: Macrobrachium nipponense
Lineage: Eukaryota; Metazoa; Arthropoda; Malacostraca; Decapoda; Palaemonidae
Exons: 5
Source: RefSeq, a predicted model, not a curated record